CAGGGAGACAACAAAAUGUUUAAUAUUAUUAUUUUGUCACCUUAGGUCGAUCGGUAUCUCACGUUUUUAAUUUAUUAAAAAUUUCAUUUCCUAAGUUUUCUAGGUCACACCCAUUAUUUUUCCUGGGCCAUUAGCUCAGGUGGUUAGAGCGCACCCCUGAUAAGGGUGAGGUCCCUGGUUCAAGUCCAGGAUGGCCCAUAUCUCUAUGUUGGGGGUAUAGCUCAGUUGGUAGAGCGCCUGCUUUGCAAGCAGGAUGUCAGCGGUUCGAGUCCGCUUACCUCCACUGAUUACCACCUCUUACAUAUUCUGUGGAAAGGAAAAUUUUGAGUUGUGAUCAAAUUCUGAACGAAUCUAGCUUCCUAAUGAAAUCAUUAAGAUGCUGGACUCAUUGAAUUAAUUUCAUUGUUUUCAGAGAACCUUGACAACUGCAUAGAUUAUUUUUAAAGACAAUAAGCAUCUUUGAUGAUGCAGAUUUAUUAUUUGUGCGAAUGCAUUAAUAACAAUUCUAUUAAGCUGAUGCUUCAAUUUUGAAGUUAUU
Molecule: transfer RNA, 538 nt
Filed under: uncultured Prochlorococcus sp.
Lineage: Bacteria; Bacillati; Cyanobacteriota; Cyanophyceae; Synechococcales; Prochlorococcaceae
Description: partial 16S-23S ribosomal RNA intergenic spacer
Rfam family: tRNA (bases 211-283)
Source: RNAcentral